Long non-coding RNA from Acipenser ruthenus (sterlet), 4273 nucleotides. RefSeq lists it as uncharacterized. NCBI's taxonomy places the organism in Eukaryota, Metazoa, Chordata, Actinopteri, Acipenseriformes, Acipenseridae. The transcript is spliced from 10 exons. The record is from RefSeq and is a predicted model, not a curated record.
AUUGGAUAAAAGACAAGUCACAAAUUAAAUGACUUCUGAUUGGCGAACGCAGUUAGCGAAUCAAAAGUUAGAAAUGCGUUACCUAAUUUGUAUAGACCCUAUAGCUGUCCAAGGUGCGCACCUGUUUAAAAAUAUACAUUUAUUAUUAAUAAAACAUUUUUUUUAGUACACGUGUCCACGUCAGUAUUUUAAUAAUAUUAUAUUUUCAUGCUUUUAGUGAAGAAUUGUUUUACUAUCAGUCAUAUUUUAAAACGGGCAGUUUCGAAAUAACCAAAGAAAACAACGAUUCUAAACCGGAACGUGCCUGAAGGAAUCAACUGUAGUUCUCUUUUAUAGCGGUUUAAAAUGUAUCUAAAAGUAUAUACGGGUGUUUGCAAUAAGUUAAUCACUGUCAUGUCAUGUCUGUGUGAAACGACUUUAUUUCAUGUGAUAAGUUUGUGGAAGAAGGACGCCAUGUGAGGAGGCGUUUGCUCUUGUUUUACACAGACUACGAGGGACAGCGCUCGUUAAACCAGGUCUGUGAGGAUGAGAAGGUCUCCACAGUCUGGAGUCUGGUCUCUGACAGGCUCAACAUACCUGUCAAUCAACAGGGACUCCUCUACAAAGGCAAGGCGCUGGCAGGUAGGCUGAACAGCACAGCACAGCUCACCCCUCCUCUCACCCCUCGCCUCACCCCUCCUCUCACUCCUCGCCUCACCCCGGGUCAGUGUGGCACAGCCUGCCUGCUCUUCUGAACAAACACUUCAGCCCUGCCAACGCAGUGAGAGUCUGGAGCAGCUACACGAGUUCUGUGAGGAUGAGAAGGUCUCCACAGUCUGGAGUCUGGUCUCUGACAGGCUCAACAUACCUGUCAAUCAACAGGGACUCCUCUACAAAGGCAAGGUGCUGGCAGGUAGGCUGAACAGCACAGCACAGCACAGCUCACCCCCUCCUCUCACUUCUCGCCUCACCCCGGGUCAGUGUGGCACAGCCUGCCUGCUCUUCUGAACAAACACUUCAGCCCUGCCGACGCAGUGAGAGUCUGGAGCAGCAACACAAGGAUUACGAGCGGAGGCUGCGCUUGUUGAGCCUGGAUGAUAUGGAGCCGCUGGCGACCCGCAUGCUUCACCCUGAGGCUGUGGAGUGCAUGGAGCUGUCCUUCCUGGACCGAGGAAUACUGCUGCUGCCCUCUCCCCCUCUCCCCUCUCUUCUCCCCCUCUCCCCUCUCCUCUCCACCUCUCCCCUCUCUUCUCCCCUCUCCCCUCUCUCCUCUCCUCUGUACUCUCUCCUCCCCCUGUCCUCUUCUCUCCUUACUUUGUUUAAAAGAAUAGAAGCACACCCAGUGAGCAAGGCAUUGAGCAGCCCCACAUCCCGCUUCACAAUACCGCUACAUAUUGACUGACUGUUCGCAUUGUGUGUGUUUGGUCUGUGAGGAUGAGUAGGUCUCUACAGUCUGGAGUCUGGUCUCUGACAGGCUCAACAUACCUGUCAAUCAACAGGGACUCCUCUACAAAGGCAAGGCGCUGGCAGGUAGGCUGAACAGCACAGCACAGCUCACCCCUCCUCUCACUUCUCGCCUCACCCCGGGUCAGUGUGGCACAGCCUGCCUGCUCUUCUGAACAAACACUUCAGCCCUGCCGACGCAGUGAGAGUCUGGAGCAGCAACACAAGGAUUACGAGCGGAGGCUGCGCUUGUUGAGCCUGGAUGAUAUGGAGCCGCUGGCGACCCGCAUGCUUCACCCUGAGGCUGUGGAGUGCAUGGAGCUGUCCUUCCUGGACCGAGGAAUACUGCUGCUGCCCUCUCCCCCUCUCCCCUCUCUUCUCCCCCUCUCCCCUCUCCUCUCCACCUCUCCCCUCUCUUCUCCCCUCUCCCCUCUCUCCUCUCCUCUGUACUCUCUCCUCCCCCUGUCCUCUUCUCUCCUUACUUUGUUUAAAAGAAUAGAAGCACACCCAGUGAGCAAGGCAUUGAGCAGCCCCACAUCCCGCUUCACAAUACCGCUACAUAUUGACUGACUGUUCGCAUUGUGUGUGUUUGGUCUGUGAGGAUGAGUAGGUCUCUACAGUCUGGAGUCUGGUCUCUGACAGGCUCAACAUACCUGUCAAUCAACAGGGACUCCUCUACAAAGGCAAGGCGCUGGCAGGUAGGCUGAACAGCACAGCACAGCUCACCCCUCCUCUCACUUCUCGCCUCACCCCGGGUCAGUGUGGCACAGCCUGCCUGCUCUUCUGAACAAACACUUCAGCCCUGCCGACGCAGUGAGAGUCUGGAGCAGCAACACAAGGAUUACGAGCGGAGGCUGCGCUUGUUGAGCCUGGAUGAUAUGGAGCCGCUGGCGACCCGCAUGCUUCACCCUGAGGCUGUGGAGUGCAUGGAGCUGUCCUUCCUGGACCGAGGAAUACUGCUGCUGCCCUCUCCCCCUCUCCCCUCUCUUCUCCCCCUCUCCCCUCUCCUCUCCACCUCUCCCCUCUCUUCUCCCCUCUCCCCUCUCUCCUCUCCUCUGUACUCUCUCCUCCCCCUGUCCUCUUCUCUCCUUACUUUGUUUAAAAGAAUAGAAGCACACCCAGUGAGCAAGGCAUUGAGCAGCCCCACAACCCGCUUCACAAUACCGCUACAUAUUGACUGACUGUUCGCAUUGUGUGUGUUUGGUAAGACAAACCACAUUUUCUACUUCUACUUUCUACGAUUGGGCAAGUCAGCGGUUGUUUGAUAACCGAACAUAAAACAUCACAGAGUGGGUUGAACUGCAUUGCUGCAAACCAAGGCCCUUUAAAAUGUGUACCUUCCCAGCUCAGGUAUUGCUGAGGUAAAGAGACACUUCCUACAGGAGGACAGGACGUUGUCAAGGAGGGGAUGUCGUCACGUGUCCUGAGGGCUUUCUUAAAAACAUUGUUUUAUUAUUUCUAAGCGCACGUUGUUACUGCCUUUUAGCUCUUGAGCAUAAUAAUCUCAAUCCCGUUUGAAAUUACAGUAAGUGCAUUUGCAUGGUGGCAGAUGAGGGAUGUCGCUUCACUCGAGGCUUGCGUACUGAUGAAGAUGUAGUUUCAGUGUUUAAUGCUCAUCCCCUCACUGUGUGUUUGUGUGUUCUUGUCUCUCGCCUGUCCUGUGAGGAUGAAGAUGUAGUUUUAGUGUUUAAUGCUUAUCCCCUCAGUGUGUGUCUGUAUGUUAUUGUCUCUUGACAGUUCUGUGAGGAUGAGAAGGUCUCCACAGUCUGGAGUCUGGUCUCUGACAGGCUCAACAUACCUGUCAAUCAACAGGGACUCCUCUACAAAGGCAAGGCGCUGGCAGAUGAGCACAGACUGUCACACGACUCCAUCGCUCCCGAUUCCAAGCUGAACUCGUUGUGACGCCCCCAACAGAGAAAGUGUCACCCGAGCAAGAACAGCACUCCGUGUCACCCCUCCUCUCAGACCUCACCCCUCACCCUCGCCUCACCCCUCCUGUCACACCUCACCCCUCGCCACACCCCUCCUCUCACACCUCACCCCUCCUCUCACCCAUCGCCUCAACCCUCCUGUCACCCCUCGCCCCUCCUCUCACCCCUCGCCCUCACCCCUCCUGUCACACCUCACCCCUCGCCACACCCCUCCUCUCACACCUCACCCCUCCUCUCACCCAUCGCCUCAACCCUCCUGUCACCCCUCGCCCCUCCUCUCACCCCUCGCCUAACCCCUCCUCUCACGCCUCGCCUCACCCCACCCCGGGUCAGUGGCACAGCCUGCCUGCUCUUCUGAACAAACACUUCAGCCCUGCCGACGCAGUGAGAGUCUGGAGCAGCAACACAAGGAUUACGAGCGGAGGCUGCGCUUGUUGAGCCUGGAUGAUAUGGAGCGGCUGGCGACUCGCAUGCUUCACCCUGAGGCUGUGGAGUGCAUGGAGCUGUCCUUCCUGGACCGAGGAAUACUGCUGCUGCCCUCUCCACCUCUCCCCUCUCUUCUCCCCUCUCCCCUCUCUCCUCUCCUCUUUACUCUCUCCUCCCCCUCUCCUCUCCUCUCCUUACUUUGUUUAAAAGAAUAGAAGCACACCCAGUGAGCAAGGCAUUGAGCAGCCCCACAUCCCGCUUCACAAUACCGCUACAUAUUGACUGACUGUUCGCAUUGUGUGUGUUUGGUAAGACAAACCACAUUUUCUACUUUCUGCUAUUUUAAAAGGAGCCCAGUUUGGUGCAGGAGGCUUGUGGGUAACAGAGUUGUUUUUGCUGGGGACUGCAGCCCUUCCAUUACCAUUGCUCGUAGAGGGGAGAUUGUUUUACUUUCAAGCCUUUUUCUUUAAUAAAUCCGGACGUUUGGAAAUACA